Molecule: ribosomal RNA, 448 nt
Filed under: uncultured bacterium
Lineage: Bacteria
Description: partial 16S ribosomal RNA
Rfam family: Bacterial small subunit ribosomal RNA
Source: RNAcentral
CCUACGGGGGGCUGCAGUGGGGAAUAUUGGACAAUGGGCGCAAGCCUGAUCCAGCAAUGCCGCGUGUGUGAAGAAGGCCUUCGGGUUGUAAAGCACUUUAAGCAGGGAAGAAAAAACUCGGUCUAAUACAUCGAGUCUUGACGGUACCUGAAGAAUAAGCACCGGCUAACUCUGUGCCAGCAGCCGCGGUAAUACAGAGGGUGCUAGCGUUAGUCGGAUUUACUGGGCGGAAUGCUCAAGUAGGUGGUUAAAUCCCUGGGCUUAACCUGGGAACUGCUUCUGAGACUGAAUGACUAGAGUACGGUAGAGGGUGGUGGAAUUUCCGGUGUAGCGGUGAAAUGCGUAGAUAUCGGAAGGAACAUCAAUGGCGAAGGCAGCCACCUGGGCCUGUACUGACACUGAGACACGAAAGCGUGGGGAUCAAACAGGAUUAGAUACCCUAGUAGUC